RNAcentral lists this ribosomal RNA (1339 nucleotides) under Dryadomyces quercivorus. RNAcentral describes it as "SSU rRNA". It matches the Rfam family "Eukaryotic small subunit ribosomal RNA", at positions 60 to 1430 of the family's 1831-position model. The record is from RNAcentral. Lineage: Eukaryota; Fungi; Ascomycota; Sordariomycetes; Ophiostomatales; Ophiostomataceae.
UAAGUAUAAGCAAUUAUACCGCGAAACUGCGAAUGGCUCAUUAAAUCAGUUAUCGUCUAUUUGAUAGUACCUUACUACUUGGAUAACCGUGGUAAUUCUAGAGCUAAUACAUGCUGAAAACCCCGACUUCGGAAGGGAUGUAUUUAUUAGAUUAAAAGCCAAUGCCCUUCGGGGCUCCCUGGUGAUUCAUAAUAACUGCUCGAAUCGCACGGCCUUGCGCCGGCGAUGGUUCAUUCAAAUUUCUGCCCUAUCAACUUUCGACGGCUGGGUCUUGGCCAGCCGUGGUGACAACGGGUAACGGAGGGUUAGGGCUCGACCCCGGAGAAGGAGCCUGAGAAACGGCUACUACAUCCAAGGAAGGCAGCAGGCGCGCAAAUUACCCAAUCCCGACUCGGGGAGGUAGUGACAAUAAAUACUGAUACAGGGCUCUUUUGGGUCUUGUAAUUGGAAUGAGUACAAUUUAAUUCCCUUAACGAGGAACAAUUGGAGGGCAAGUCUGGUGCCAGCAGCCGCGGUAAUUCCAGCUCCAAUAGCGUAUAUUAAAGUUGUUGCAGUUAAAAAGCUCGUAGUUGAACCUUGCGGCCUGGCUGGCCGGUCCGCCUCACCGCGUGCACUGGUCCGGCCGGGCCUUUCCCUCUGGGGAGCCGCAUGCCCUUCACUGGGCGUGUCGGGGAACCAGGACUUUUACUUUGAAAAAAUUAGAGUGUUCAAAGCAGGCUUAUGCUCGAAUACAUUAGCAUGGAAUAAUAGAAUAGGACGCGUGGUUCUAUUUUGUUGGUUUCUAGGACCGCCGUAAUGAUUAAUAGGGACAGUCGGGGGCAUCAGUAUUCAGUUGCGAGAGGUGAAAUUCUUGGACCAACUGAAGACUAACUACUGCGAAAGCAUUUGCCAAGGAUGUUUUCAUUAAUCAGGAACGAAAGUUAGGGGAUCGAAGACGAUCAGAUACCGUCGUAGUCUUAACCAUAAACUAUGCCGACUAGGGAUCGGGCGGUGUUAUCUUUUGACCCGCUCGGCACCUUGCACGAAAGUACAAGUUUCUGGGUUCUGGGGGGAGUAUGGUCGCAAGGCUGAAACUUAAAGAAAUUGACGGAAGGGCACCACCAGGGGUGGAGCCUGCGGCUUAAUUUGACUCAACACGGGGAAACUCACCAGGUCCAGACACGAUGAGGAUUGACAGAUUGAGAGCUCUUUCUUGAUUUCGUGGGUGGUGGUGCAUGGCCGUUCUUAGUUGGUGGAGUGAUUUGUCUGCCUAAUCGCGAUAACGAACGAGACCUUAACCUGCUAAAUAGCCCGCGCUGCCCCGGCAGCGCGCCGGCUUCUUAGAGGGACUAUCGGCUCA